This 279-nucleotide ribosomal RNA is filed under the name uncultured bacterium. RNAcentral describes it as "partial 16S ribosomal RNA". It matches the Rfam family "Bacterial small subunit ribosomal RNA", at positions 506 to 784 of the family's 1533-position model. The record is from RNAcentral.
UGCCAGCCGCCGCGGUAACACGGAGGCCCCGAGCGUUGUUCAGAUUUACUGGGCGUAAAGAGUGCGUAGGCGGCGAGGUAAGUCAGAUGUGAAAUCUUGGGGCUCAACCCCGAGACUGCAUCCGAUACUGCCUUGCUAGAGGACUGGAGAGGAAACUGGAAUUGGUGGUGUAGCAGUGAAAUGCGUGGAUAUCACCAGGAAGACCAAUGGCGAAGGCAGGUCUCUGGACAACUCCUGACGCUGAGGUACGAAGGCUGGGGUAGCGAAAAGGAUUAGAUA